RNAcentral lists this ribosomal RNA (372 nucleotides) under uncultured organism. Its description in RNAcentral is "bacterial SSU rRNA". It matches the Rfam family "Bacterial small subunit ribosomal RNA", at positions 526 to 896 of the family's 1533-position model. The record is from RNAcentral.
CGUAGGUGGCAAGCGUUGUCCGGAAUUAUUGGGCGUAAAGGGCGUGUAGGUGGAUUCUUAAGUCGUGUGUCUAAGUGCGGGGCUCAACCCCGUAUAGGCGCAGGAAACUGGGAAUCUUGAGUGCAGGAGAGGAAAGUGGAAUUCCCAGUGUAGCGGUGAAAUGCGUAGAUAUUGGGAGGAACACCAGUGGCGAAGGCGACUUUCUGGACUGUGUCUGACACUGAGGCGCGAAAGCUAGGGGAGCGAACGGGAUUAGAUACCCCGGUAGUCCUAGCCGUAAACGAUGGGUACUAGGUGUAGAGGGUAUCGACCCCUUCUGUGCCGGAGUUAACGCAAUAAGUACCCCGCCUGGGGAGUACGGCCGCAAGGUUG